GAUGAACGCUGGCGGCGUGCCUAAUACAUGCAAGUCGAGCGAACGGACGAGAAGCUUGCUUCUCUGAUGUUAGCGGCGGACGGGUGAGUAACACGCGGAUAACCUACCUAUAAGACUGGGAUAACUUCGGGAAACCGGAGCUAAUACCGGAUAAUAUUUUGAACCGCAUGGUUCAAAAGUGAAAGACGGUCUUGCUGUCACUUAUAGAUGGAUCCGCGCUGCAUUAGCUAGUUGGUAAGGUAACGGCUUACCAAGGCAACGAUGCAUAGCCGACCUGAGAGGGUGAUCGGCCACACUGGAACUGAGACACGGUCCAGACUCCUACGGGAGGCAGCAGUAGGGAAUCUUCCGCAAUGGGCGAAAGCCUGACGGAGCAACGCCGCGUGAGUGAUGAAGGUCUUCGGAUCGUAAAACUCUGUUAUUAGGGAAGAACAUAUGUGUAAGUAACUGUGCACAUCUUGACGGUACCUAAUCAGAAAGCCACGGCUAACUACGUGCCAGCAGCCGCGGUAAUACGUAGGUGGCAAGCGUUAUCCGGAAUUAUUGGGCGUAAAGCGCGCGUAGGCGGUUUUUUAAGUCUGAUGUGAAAGCCCACGGCUCAACCGUGGAGGGUCAUUGGAAACUGGAAAACUUGAGUGCAGAAGAGGAAAGUGGAAUUCCAUGUGUAGCGGUGAAAUGCGCAGAGAUACGGAGGAACACCAGUGGCGAAGGCGACUUUCUGGUCUGUAACUGACGCUGAUGUGCGAAAGCGUGGGGAUCAAACAGGAUUAGAUACCCUGGUAGUCCACGCCGUAAACGAUGAGUGCUAAGUGUUAGGGGGUUUCCGCCCCUUAGUGCUGCAGCUAACGCAUUAAGCACUCCGCCUGGGGAGUACGACCGCAAGGUUGAAACUCAAAGGAAUUGACGGGGACCCGCACAAGCGGUGGAGCAUGUGGUUUAAUUCGAAGCAACGCGAAGAACCUUACCAAAUCUUGACAUCCUUUGACAACUCUAGAGAUAGAGCUUUCCCCUUCGGGGGACAAAGUGACAGGUGGUGCAUGGUUGUCGUCAGCUCGUGUCGUGAGAUGUUGGGUUAAGUCCCGCAACGAGCGCAACCCUUAAGCUUAGUUGCCAUCAUUAAGUUGGGCACUCUAAGUUGACUGCCGGUGACAAACCGGAGGAAGGUGGGGAUGACGUCAAAUCAUCAUGCCCCUUAUGAUUUGGGCUACACACGUGCUACAAUGGACAAUACAAAGGGCAGCGAAACCGCGAGGUCAAGCAAAUCCCAUAAAGUUGUUCUCAGUUCGGAUUGUAGUCUGCAACUCGACUACAUGAAGCUGGAAUCGCUAGUAAUCGUAGAUCAGCAUGCUACGGUGAAUACGUUCCCGGGUCU
RNAcentral lists this ribosomal RNA (1372 nucleotides) under uncultured bacterium. RNAcentral describes it as "bacterial SSU rRNA". It matches the Rfam family "Bacterial small subunit ribosomal RNA", at positions 28 to 1381 of the family's 1533-position model. The record is from RNAcentral.